RNAcentral lists this microRNA precursor (110 nucleotides) under Phlebotomus papatasi. Its description in RNAcentral is "microRNA mir-186". Lineage: Eukaryota; Metazoa; Arthropoda; Insecta; Diptera; Psychodidae. The record is from RNAcentral.
GGGAGCAAUUUUUUGUCAAAAAUUGGUUUUUUGAAGGAAAUUUUCUGCAGCGUUGUAGGGGGAAACGUCAAAUUUCUGUCAAAAAACCAAUUUUUGACGAAAAUUACUCC